GAAAAGUCUCCGAAUUGGACCGAGGUUUUGGCUACCCCCCCAUUGUCAGACGUCCCGAGCGCGUUCCAGAAGUCGGAAUCGGCAAAGGUGAGCCGGGACAGCCUUCUUCCUCCGCCCAGCCGCCACAGUGACCGUUGUCAAGUCUGUGAGUAAAAUAUUAAUUUUAAUUGUAAUUUCACUAUUAUUAUAUGUUCAAGCAUGUCCAUGCAUCACUUAUAUGCAUAUAUCUAUGUAGAUAAAAUUUAGGCACGAUUUAUGUUGCAUUCAUAACUGUGAAAGUGCCAUGUAUGUUGUUGUGGUAAUUUGGCGCAGUGUGCGUGCGUUGGCGUGCGUGUGAUGUGGUGUGGACUAUGGAUAGGACGGGUAGACACGGCUUGAGAUCUUCGCUGGGACCCCGAUUUGGUUAUUAAGUGGAAGUCCGAGCUGAGUUCUUCGCUGGCACAGUUGGAAUUAAGAGAGCUGUAUAGGGGAUCAGCUCCCAUAUAUAUAUGAUUGAUAUUGCUGGGUGCGUGAGUGCUCCAAAUUACCUUUUUGCUGUUAUGAUGUGAAUUUAUUGCUGAUGCUGCAUUUCACUCUACAGGGUGCAUUAGUUUUAGAUAGUUAUAGAGAUUAUGGUUAAAAUUGAUAUUUUACUCUCUGAGUCGAACGCUCACUCCUGUUCAAUAUUUUUUCAGGCCACAGGAGGAUAUUUUUGAGAUUAACCUGCUUUCUUCAUCGCAGGUCGAUUAUUAAUGUUUGUAUAAACUUGUUAAAUCUUAGAAUUUCCGCAUGUGUUAGAAAUGUUUAUUUGAUUUGGGUCUGUAAAUUAAAUUAUUAUUUUAGACCUGUAAACUUAAUAGUCUAUGCAUGUUUGAUGGAUUGGAUGAGGGAGCUGAGCUCCUAUUUAUUUUUA
Hevea brasiliensis (rubber tree) is the source of this 892-nucleotide long non-coding RNA. RefSeq lists it as uncharacterized. The transcript has 2 exons. NCBI's taxonomy places the organism in Eukaryota, Viridiplantae, Streptophyta, Magnoliopsida, Malpighiales, Euphorbiaceae. The record is from RefSeq and is a predicted model, not a curated record.